GCCAUAUCACGUUGAAACAACGGUUCCCGUACGAUCACCGAUGUUAAGCAACAUUGAGCCUGGUCAGUACCUAGAUGGUCGAUCGCUUAGGAAUACCAGGUGUUGUAAG
Non-coding RNA from Acanthosepion pharaonis, 109 nucleotides. Lineage: Eukaryota; Metazoa; Mollusca; Cephalopoda; Sepiida; Sepiidae. The record is from the annotation of a GenBank genome assembly.